Molecule: ribosomal RNA, 2894 nt
Filed under: Escherichia coli
Lineage: Bacteria; Pseudomonadati; Pseudomonadota; Gammaproteobacteria; Enterobacterales; Enterobacteriaceae
Description: bacterial LSU rRNA
Rfam family: Bacterial large subunit ribosomal RNA
Source: RNAcentral
ACUAAGCGUACACGGUGGAUGCCCUGGCAGUCAGAGGCGAUGAAGGACGUGCUAAUCUGCGAUAAGCGUCGGUAAGGUGAUAUGAACCGUUAUAACCGGCGAUUUCCGAAUGGGGAAACCCAGUGUGAUUCGUCACACUAUCAUUAACUGAAUCCAUAGGUUAAUGAGGCGAACCGGGGGAACUGAAACAUCUAAGUACCCCGAGGAAAAGAAAUCAACCGAGAUUCCCCCAGUAGCGGCGAGCGAACGGGGAGCAGCCCAGAGCCUGAAUCAGUGUGUGUGUUAGUGGAAGCGUCUGGAAAGGCGCGCGAUACAGGGUGACAGCCCCGUACACAAAAAUGCACAUACUGUGAGCUCGAUGAGUAGGGCGGGACACGUGGUAUCCUGUCUGAAUAUGGGGGGACCAUCCUCCAAGGCUAAAUACUCCUGACUGACCGAUAGUGAACCAGUACCGUGAGGGAAAGGCGAAAAGAACCCCGGCGAGGGGAGUGAAAAAGAACCUGAAACCGUGUACGUACAAGCAGUGGGAGCACGCUUCGGCGUGUGACUGCGUACCUUUUGUAUAAUGGGUCAGCGACUUAUAUUCUGUAGCAAGGUUAACCGAAUAGGGGAGCCGAAGGGAAACCGAGUCUUAACUGGGCGUUAAGUUGCAGGGUAUAGACCCGAAACCCGGUGAUCUAGCCAUGGGCAGGUUGAAGGUUGGGUAACACUAACUGGAGGACCGAACCGACUAAUGUUGAAAAAUUAGCGGAUGACUUGUGGCUGGGGGUGAAAGGCCAAUCAAACCGGGAGAUAGCUGGUUCUCCCCGAAAGCUAUUUAGGUAGCGCCUCGUGAAUUCAUCUCCGGGGGUAGAGCACUGUUUCGGCAAGGGGGUCAUCCCGACUUACCAACCCGAUGCAAACUGCGAAUACCGGAGAAUGUUAUCACGGGAGACACACGGCGGGUGCUAACGUCCGUCGUGAAGAGGGAAACAACCCAGACCGCCAGCUAAGGUCCCAAAGUCAUGGUUAAGUGGGAAACGAUGUGGGAAGGCCCAGACAGCCAGGAUGUUGGCUUAGAAGCAGCCAUCAUUUAAAGAAAGCGUAAUAGCUCACUGGUCGAGUCGGCCUGCGCGGAAGAUGUAACGGGGCUAAACCAUGCACCGAAGCUGCGGCAGCGACACUAUGUGUUGUUGGGUAGGGGAGCGUUCUGUAAGCCUGCGAAGGUGUACUGUGAGGUAUGCUGGAGGUAUCAGAAGUGCGAAUGCUGACAUAAGUAACGAUAAAGCGGGUGAAAAGCCCGCUCGCCGGAAGACCAAGGGUUCCUGUCCAACGUUAAUCGGGGCAGGGUGAGUCGACCCCUAAGGCGAGGCCGAAAGGCGUAGUCGAUGGGAAACAGGUUAAUAUUCCUGUACUUGGUGUUACUGCGAAGGGGGGACGGAGAAGGCUAUGUUGGCCGGGCGACGGUUGUCCCGGUUUAAGCGUGUAGGCUGGUUUUCCAGGCAAAUCCGGAAAAUCAAGGCUGAGGCGUGAUGACGAGGCACUACGGUGCUGAAGCAACAAAUGCCCUGCUUCCAGGAAAAGCCUCUAAGCAUCAGGUAACAUCAAAUCGUACCCCAAACCGACACAGGUGGUCAGGUAGAGAAUACCAAGGCGCUUGAGAGAACUCGGGUGAAGGAACUAGGCAAAAUGGUGCCGUAACUUCGGGAGAAGGCACGCUGAUAUGUAGGUGAAGUCCCUCGCGGAUGGAGCUGAAAUCAGUCGAAGAUACCAGCUGGCUGCAACUGUUUAUUAAAAACACAGCACUGUGCAAACACGAAAGUGGACGUAUACGGUGUGACGCCUGCCCGGUGCCGGAAGGUUAAUUGAUGGGGUUAGCGGUAACGCGAAGCUCUUGAUCGAAGCCCCGGUAAACGGCGGCCGUAACUAUAACGGUCCUAAGGUAGCGAAAUUCCUUGUCGGGUAAGUUCCGACCUGCACGAAUGGCGUAAUGAUGGCCAGGCUGUCUCCACCCGAGACUCAGUGAAAUUGAACUCGCUGUGAAGAUGCAGUGUACCCGCGGCAAGACGGAAAGACCCCGUGAACCUUUACUAUAGCUUGACACUGAACAUUGAGCCUUGAUGUGUAGGAUAGGUGGGAGGCUUUGAAGUGUGGACGCCAGUCUGCAUGGAGCCGACCUUGAAAUACCACCCUUUAAUGUUUGAUGUUCUAACGUUGGCCCCUGAUCGGGGUUGCGGACAGUGUCUGGUGGGUAGUUUGACUGGGGCGGUCUCCUCCUAAAGAGUAACGGAGGAGCACGAAGGUUGGCUAAUCCUGGUCGGACAUCAGGAGGUUAGUGCAAUGGCAUAAGCCAGCUUGACUGCGAGCGUGACGGCGCGAGCAGGUGCGAAAGCAGGUCAUAGUGAUCCGGUGGUUCUGAAUGGAAGGGCCAUCGCUCAACGGAUAAAAGGUACUCCGGGGAUAACAGGCUGAUACCGCCCAAGAGUUCAUAUCGACGGCGGUGUUUGGCACCUCGAUGUCGGCUCAUCACAUCCUGGGGCUGAAGUAGGUCCCAAGGGUAUGGCUGUUCGCCAUUUAAAGUGGUACGCGAGCUGGGUUUAGAACGUCGUGAGACAGUUCGGUCCCUAUCUGCCGUGGGCGCUGGAGAACUGAGGGGGGCUGCUCCUAGUACGAGAGGACCGGAGUGGACGCAUCACUGGUGUUCGGGUUGUCAUGCCAAUGGCACUGCCCGGUAGCUAAAUGCGGAAGAGAUAAGUGCUGAAAGCAUCUAAGCACGAAACUUGCCCCGAGAUGAGUUCUCCCUGACUCCUUGAGAGUCCUGAAGGAACGUUGAAGACGACGACGUUGAUAGGCCGGGUGUGUAAGCGCAGCGAUGCGUUGAGCUAACCGGUACUAAUGAACCGUGAGGCUUAACC